Molecule: long non-coding RNA, 215 nt
Filed under: Elaeis guineensis (African oil palm)
Lineage: Eukaryota; Viridiplantae; Streptophyta; Magnoliopsida; Arecales; Arecaceae
Description: long non-coding RNA (EGUI_LNC068077)
Source: RNAcentral
CCUGACCAUCAUUAGAUAGUUCAAUAGAAUCAUCAUAUGAUGAAUGAUAAUUUCAUCAUUCAGAGAGAACACCAGAUGGAUGGCGCCUGCAAUAUCAAUCUAAAAUAAUGGAUCCAUUAUCAUUUAUCUUAAUGGGAGGCUACGAUCUAGUUAUCCCCAUAACUAGCUUAUUUUAUAGAUCAAUAAUUUAGAAGAUUUGAUUAAUUUAUUUUAUA